UCUCGGCCUACGUGCACC
This 18-nucleotide unclassified non-coding RNA is filed under the name Chlamydomonas reinhardtii. RNAcentral's name for it is "small RNA Cre_2770". The record is from RNAcentral. Lineage: Eukaryota; Viridiplantae; Chlorophyta; Chlorophyceae; Chlamydomonadales; Chlamydomonadaceae.